RNAcentral lists this unclassified non-coding RNA (377 nucleotides) under uncultured Gammaproteobacteria bacterium. RNAcentral describes it as "contains 16S-23S intergenic spacer region". The record is from RNAcentral. Lineage: Bacteria; Pseudomonadati; Pseudomonadota; Gammaproteobacteria.
UCCGGUUUGUCACCGGCAGUCUCAUUAGAGUGCCCAACUGAAUGUAGCAACUAAUGACAAGGGUUGCGCUCGUUGCGGGACUUAACCCAACAUCUCACGACACGAGCUGACGACAGCCAUGCAGCACCUGUGUUCCCGUUCCCUUUCGGGCACAGCCCCCUUUCAGGGGCCUCCAGGACAUGUCAAGGGUAGGUAAGGUUUUUCGCGUUGCAUCGAAUUAAUCCACAUAAUCCACCGCUUGUGCGGGUCCCCGUCAAUUCCUUUGAGUUUUAACCUUGCGGCCGUACUCCCCAGGCGGUGUGUUUAACGCUUUCGCUACGCCGCCGAGAACCUGAGGUUCCCAACAGCUAACACACAUCGUUUAUGGCGUGGACUAC